GAGUGCUGGACAGACCACCAUGUGGAGUUGCCAGCUGAGGACAUUGCUACUUGGAUACCCCCACAGGACGCCCAGCCAGGCAUGAUGACUCACAUCUGUAAUCCCAGCACUUUGGGAGGCUGAGGCAAGAGGAUUGAGGCCAAGAGUUCAAGACCAGCCUGGGAAGCAUACCUCUCUUGAACCUUCACAGUCCAGCCGAGCUGCCAUCUCUUCAAGGAAGUUUUCCCUGAAGCCCUCAGGUAGGCCCGUUUUUCCAUGGCGGCCACAUCAGCAUGCAGCACAUUUAAUUGGAAGUCUCCACAUAUGAGUUGGUUUUCCUUACUUAAAAUAUGCUUAUCAUCCCUUGGAGCACUUGAAAAUAUUGGCUAUUUCCUUCUGACCCCCAUGGUUUCUUUUAAAAAAUUUGCUGUUGUUUGAAUGAUUUUUCUCUACAGGUAUUGACUCCUGCCUCAUGAAGGCUGGUCCUGUCUCUAUAGUGAAUAUUGUGCAUCUCAGGGUAGAAUGGAGAGCACAAGACUUCAAAUCAGGCAGUCCGGGUUCAGACCCCAAUUCUAGUGCUAAAUAGCUACGUGACUUUAGGCUGAUUGUGUGUGACUUCCCUGAGCCCCAGUCUCUUUGCCUGCAAAAUGAGAAAAAUGAUAACAAUGUCAUCGGUUGUUCUAAGGAUUCUGAGAGGAAU
This 679-nucleotide long non-coding RNA is filed under the name Pan troglodytes (chimpanzee). RNAcentral's name for it is "lincRNA". The record is from RNAcentral. Lineage: Eukaryota; Metazoa; Chordata; Mammalia; Primates; Hominidae.